UGUACAGUUUAUUAUAGAUAAUGCUACAAAUUAUAGAGUUGCAGAAGAUUUGUUAUUUCAAAAGUAUAUAACAUUUUUUUGGAGUCUAUGUGUCACUAUCUUAAUGAGAUGCAUGAUAUGAAAUCAGUUAUUGACCAAUGUUAAGAGGUAACAAAAUUUAUCUAUAAUCAUACAUAUGUAUUGAGUUUGAUGAAAAAAUUUAUAAAAGGAGUUGAAUUAGUACGACCUGCACAAACUAGAUUUGUCACAAAUGUAUUGACUAUGCAGAGUGUGGUGAAACAAAGAACUCCUUUGAGUCAGAUGUUCGCUAGUGAAAAAUGGGCUACAUAUCCACAUGCUCAUAAAAGAAAUGCUUCUUUAGUUGUGGAUAUUGUAUUCAAUAACGAAUUUUGGAGAUCAUGUGUGAAGCUAUUGAAGGUUUGUGUUCCAUUAGUUAAAGUUCUCAGGUUAGCUGACAGCGAGGAUAUUCCUUCCAUAGGAUACUUAUAUGAGGCUAUGGAUAAAGCAAAAGAGGCAAUUCGAGACAACUUAAAAGCAAAGAAAAAGUUAUAUAUGCCCAUAUGGAAGAUUAUAGAUAAAAGGUGGACAGGACAGUUUCAUCAACCUCUUCAUGCAGCAGCUUACUAUCUAAAUCCUGCAAUUAGAUUUUCUCCACCAUUUAAGAAGGACAGAGAAGUCUUAGGCGGUCUGUUGAAUUGUAUUAAUGUGUUAAUCAAUGUUGUACGUAUCGUACGAUACGACCCCGUAUCGUACGAUACGUAUCGUAUCGUUUGAAGAAAACGAUACGAUACACCCCUCGUAUCGUAAAAAGGGGGUGUAUCGGCCCUGUAUCGCCCGUAUCGUACGAUACAGAACCCGUAUCGUACGAUACGGGGCGAUACAUCCCGUAUCGUACGAUACGGCCUAAAAACGCAAAAGGGGGCCGAGACCUACUUAUUCGGCUUCUUUUUCAAAUUUUUCUUCAGUUCUUCAUUUCUAACGCUUGGAUAAUGCCGUGAGGGAGGGCGAUCGUUCAUUUUGACCGUGAAGAACUUGAUUUUCAUCGUCAAAUCGAAGAUUAAGUGGUCGAUUUGUGCGUGGGUGCUUGAUUUUCGUGGGAAGGAAAGGGGUUUUCUUCAUUUCAGACAUUUCUUCUUCGUAAGGUAUGAAAUCUCAUGUUCUUACCAUGUAUUCUUAAUUUUUUACCGUAUAAUCGUAGAUUUGAAGACUUUGAGUGUUUUUCAUUAAGUUUACCAUAGGAUUUCGUUUUUUUUUUUGACGAUAUGGAUCCUACAUGGCAAUGGUGCGAAAGGGUGAAGGAGAAUAACCGUUUGAAACUCAAAUGUGGCUUCUGUGGGAAUACACUUUCAGGAGGGAUUAUUAGAAUGAAACACCAUUUGGCAGGGACCUCCAAAGAUGCGUCUCCUUGUGUUGGAGGACCAAACAAACCUUUGCCUCCAUUUGUGCGUCAACAAUGUUUAGAUAUGCUUCAUGCUUUACGUCAAAAGAGAAUACAAAAAGAAAUUGAAGAUGCAGAUGUAGGCUAUAAUGUGCCUUUGGAAGAUGAAGAAGAAGAGGAUGAAGCUUAUGAAUGUGAUGAUGAAGACGAUAGCAGUCUAAGAACAGAUUUGGAGACCUCAAGAGGUAGAGAUCGUAGAGGAAAAGGAAUUAUGUAUGAAGGAGGUCGAUCUGGCAUAACGAGAAGGAAGAGGAGAGGCACAACAGAUGUUAGGGCCAGGCGUGGUAUGCGACCACCUAGUAGUAGAGUUCCUACUGGUAGGUCUAGUGUUGGCUCUAUUAAGAGUUUUUUCCCUUCAUAUACCAGCCCAGGUGGUCAGCCGCAGAUUCGUGCUGCUAUGACAUCUAAAGAUAUGCUAUAUCAUGCACAAAAGCAGGUAAGGAAAUGGUUUUAUGAUGCCUGUAUUCCAUUCAAUGCAGCUAAUUCUUUUCAAUUCCAAGCCAUGGUAGAUGCAAUUGCUUCUAUAGGCCCCGGAUUUAAAAUGCCAUCAUAUCAUCAGUUGAGAGGCAAAAUUCUUCAGGAUACAGUCAAAGAAGUGUCUGAGCAUUGCGAUGAGUUGAAAUUAUGUUGGAAGGAAACAGGUUGCUCCAUUAUGUCAGAUGGUUGGACUGAUACAAGGUCAAGAACACUUGUAAAUUUUCUUGUGUAUUGCCCUAAAGGUACAAUGUUCUUGAAAUCUCUUGACUUGUCUGAUGUUCCUAAGACUGCUGAGAUUUUAUUCAAUGUUUUUGAUAAUGUUGUACAAGAAGUUGGACCUGCAAACAUUGUACAGUUUAUUACAGAUAAUGCUGCAAAUUAUAGAGCUGCAGGAGAUUUGUUAUUUCAAAAGUAUAGAACAUUUUAUUGGAGUCCAUGUGCCACUCAUUGUGUUAAUCUAAUGCUUCAAGAUCUUAAUGAGAUGCAUGAUAUGAAAUCAGCCAUUGACCAAUGUCAAGAGGUAACAAAAUUUAUCUAUAAUCAUGCAUAUGUAUUGAGUUUGAUGAGAAAAUUUACAAAAGGAGUUGAAUUAAUACGACCUGCACAAACUAGAUUUGCCACAAAUGUAUUGACUGUGCAGAGUGUGGUGAAACAAAGAACUCCUUUGAGACAGAUGUUUGCUAGUGAAGAAUGGGCUGCAUAUCCACAUGCUCAUAAAAGAAAUGCUUCUUUAGUUGUGGAUAUUAUAUUCAAUAACGUAUUUUGGGAAUCAUGUGUGAAGCUAUUGAAGGUUUGUGUUCCAUUAGUUAAGGUUCUCAGGUUGGCUGACAGCGAGGACAGACCUUCUAUAGGGUACUUAUAUGAGGCUAUGGACAAAGCAAAAGAGGCAAUUCGAGACAACUUAAAGGAAAAGAAAAGGUUAUAUAUGCCCAUAUGGAAGAUUAUAGAUAAAAGGUGGACUGGACAGCUUCAUCAACCUCUUCAUGCAGCAGCUUAUUAUUUAAAUCCUGUAAUUAGAUUUUCUCCUACAUUUAAGAAGGACAGAGAAGUCAUGCAUGGUUUGUUAGAUUGUAUUAAUGUGUUAGUGGAAGAUUCUACAGAACAAGAUGCUGUGCACAAUGAGUUGGAUCUAUAUGAUAGUUGUUUUCGAAACAUGGGACUACCUGCCGCCGUUCGAGCCAGGACAACGAUGCGUCCAGGUAAAUACAUAGAAAUUUUUAAUUUACUUUGCAUUUGUUACAUUUGAUUCUUUUAAAACUUUCACAUUGAUUUGUUAUAUUUUUGUUUAGAUUUGUGGUGGAAUAGGUAUGGGUUUGAUUGUCCAAACCUAGCACGUUUUGCAAUCAAAGUCCUCAGCCAGACAUGCAGUGCUAGUGGAUGCGAAAUGAAUUGGAGUGUGUUCGAACAUAUCCAUAGAAAAAAAAGGAAUAGGCUCGAACAUAAAAGGUUGAAUGACCUUGUCUUUGUUCGAUAUAAUAUGAGGUUGAAACAAAUGUAAUAUAAGCAUAUAGCUUAAUAUUUUUUGUACAAUAUAUUUAUAUGAAAUUAUAUAAGCACACAUCACGGUUCGAUCAUAUCAACUUGGAAAAUUUUGACGAUCUAGAGCCAUGGAUUGAAGAAGAACCAGCUACAAUAUUUGAUUAUGAAGAUCUUGAAUGCUUCAACUUUGAAGCUGAAGCAACAGAAGGCUUUGUUAAUGAAGGAGAGUCUGCUACUGGCACUGCUGGUGCUGAAUAUGUUGGUGAGGAUCUUCCAAUUCUUGAUUAUGAAGAAGAAGAAGAAGAUGAAGAUGAUGAAGAUUAUGAAUGAUGAAUCAUGAAUGAGAGCCAAGUCAAGACAGCUUUCAUUUUAUAUGUAUCGAACGACUUAAAGUUAUGAAUCUAUGGUUGUUGAACACUUAAAUGUUUUAUCACUUUAUGACUUAAAUGAUAUUGUUAUGAAUUUUGAUGUCUAUGAAUGAUGAACAAGUAAGUUUAUAGCAAUAGUAAGUCUAUCAUUAUCUUAAACAUGUUUUCUAUGAAGAAUUUAUUAUUUUUAAUUUUUUCUGGGUUUUUUAUGAAUUUUCUGAUUUUUUUUUAUUUUUUCUGAUUGAUUAAUAAUUUUUAAAAAAAAAUUACGAUACGUUACGAUAUUUUACGAUACGGCGUAUCUUAAAGCCCGACCGAUACGGCUUACGAUACGCGUUUUACAACAUUGGUUGAUACUGCUCUAUAUGAUACAGGUACUACUUGGAUUAUUGAUUCAGGAGCAUCGAAGCAUUUUUGUAGUAGACCUUCUAUGUUUAUCGUGCUACACUCAUUACUUCAAACACGUUAUGUGAGACUUGCAGCCGGUAAAUGGUCUCAUAUUAUGGGUUAUGAAAAUAUUAAGAUUUCUCAGUCUAUGACAAUUCCUAAUGUGUUAUAUGCUUCUAAGUUUCUCACUAAUAUUUCAUUAGUUGGACAAUUGAUUAAUGAUUUACAUUGUCGUGUUACAUUUCACUCUGCUGUAUGUUUAUUUCAGGACUUGCAAACUGGGAAGCAACUGGUGGAGGCUAUGAGAAAGGGGGCAUCUACUUCCUGUUUGAUUCUGUGCGUAUUGCAGCAGUCUCGACUUCUUCAUUGUUCUCGUUCUUCCAGUGACAUCUUAGACUUGGUCAUCCAUCUGUUUCCAAGCUCUGUCACCUACUUCUUCAUCUAUCAGUACCAGAAUCGUUCCUCGUUCCAAUGUGAGACCUGUCAACUUGGCAAGAACACCCCUAGCAGUUAUUCAUUGAGUCUUAGUCUGUCCAGUUGUAGACUAUUUGAUCUUCUUCAUGUUGAUGUGUAGGGUCCUAGCAGAGUUGCUAGUAGGUCUAGAUUGUGUUAUUUCCUUGUCAUCAUUGUUUAUGAUUAUUCUCAAGUCACUUGGGUUUUUCUUUUGAAAGAAAGGUCUUAAGUUAUAUGUACUCUCAAGAUCCUUAUUAUUGAAAUAAAGAACCAGUUUGGUAUUCUUAUUAAAGCAUUCGCACUAAUAACCCCCUUGAGUUGAAGACAUAUACCAAAAUGAAAUUUUACUCUGAUAAUGACAUUUCUCAUCAGUUUACUUGUCUUCAUACCUCCCAGCAAAAUGGAGUAGCUGAGCGGAAACAUCGCCAACUUUUAAAUGUGGCACGCUCCCUAAUGUUUCAUACUAAUCUACCUACAUAUUUUUGGGAGAUGCCAUCUUCACUGUCUGGUACUUAACCAACCGUUUAGCCUCAUCCUCCAUUGACAACAAGGUUCCCAUUAAACUUGUGCACCCACAACGACCCUUAUUUUCAGUAGCUCCUAAAGUAUUUGGUUGCACAUGCUUUGUUCACAUACUUGGACCCACACGUGAUAAAUUAGGUGCCCAAACCAUUAAGUGUAUCUUUAUUGGCUACUCCGGAAAUCAUAAAGGUUACAAAUGCUUUGACCCCUUGACUCAAAAAGAGUAUAUCAGUGUGUGACAUUUUUUUAGUCUCAGCCUUAUUAUAGUUCUUCACCUACCUCUAUUGAGAUGCCAUUGUCAUCGGACCCACUACCUAUUCCUCCUAUUCCUUUGGAAUCAUUCCCUUACGAGUCUCCUUCUAGGGAUUCUCCCGCCGUAGUGUCCAAGUUUCGUGAUCAUCCGCUGGUCUACACACGUCGACAGGACCCUUCUUAUGAUCCUUCCUCAACCGCUUCUCAGGAGGUAAGUACAUCUGAAGUGAGUAUACCUAAUCCAUCUGAUUCCUGUCAGAACUUACCUAUUGCUCUUCGCAAAGGUAAGCGACAAUGUACUCUGCAUCUUAUAUUUCAUUUUAUUUCUACUGAUGGUAUUGGUAAAAGUAUGCAACAGUUUAUUCAAGCUCUGGCUGCCCAUGCAGUUCCUACUUGUUACCAAUAGGCCUUAUUAAGAUCCUCAAUGGAGACAGGUCCACAGGCUAUGCAAGAUGAGAUGGAUCAGCGAGGCACUUGUGAACUUGUUGAUCCUCCUCCUGAUUGUGACAUUGUUGGCUCCAAGUGGGUAUUCACAGUGAAAUAUAAUUUUGAUGGUUCUAUGAAAAGAUACAAAACUCGAUUGGUUGCUAAGGGCUGUACGCAAACUUACGGGGUUGAUUUCUUUGAGACUUUUUCUCCUGUUGCUCAGUUGGGGACCAUUCGUCUUAUCAUCUCUGUAGUUGUAUACCGUGACUGACACAUGAAUCAGCUUGACGUCAAAAAUACAUUUUUGUACGGUGAUCUCGAUGAGACUGUGUAUAUGCAACAACCACCAGGCUUUAUACGACACAGGGAGUGUGGAAAAGUGCGCAAACUGAAGAAAGCUAUUUAUGGACUCAAGCAGAGUCCUCGUGCGUGAUUUCACAAGUUCUCUGAGGUAGUCUCAAAGUGUGGCUGUGCGAGAUCCCCUCUUGCUCAUUCUCUGUUUAUCAAGAAGAAUUCCAAGGGUAUGACCAUUCUAGUGGUUUAUGUUGAUGAUAUUAUCCAGACAGGUGACUCCGAUCAAGAAAUUUCUGAUACAAAGUUGUUUCUUCAAAAACACUUUAUGACGAAAGAUCUUGGUCAACUACGAUAUUUCUUGAGAAUAGAGGUGGCUCGCAACAGGGAAUGUGUAGUUCUCUCUCAACGAAAGUAUGUUCUUGAUUUAUUGCAGGACAUCGGGAUGCUAGGAGCUAAACCGGCCACUCUACCUAUGAAUCCACGCAUAUAUCUUCAUGAUGACCAAUCAGAAUUAGUG
Molecule: RNA transcript, 6613 nt
Organism: Nymphaea colorata (pocket water lily)
Lineage: Eukaryota; Viridiplantae; Streptophyta; Magnoliopsida; Nymphaeales; Nymphaeaceae
Exons: 2
Source: RefSeq, a predicted model, not a curated record